RNAcentral lists this ribosomal RNA (121 nucleotides) under Caldisericum exile AZM16c01. RNAcentral also lists the same sequence under 1 other name. Lineage: Bacteria; Pseudomonadati; Caldisericota; Caldisericia; Caldisericales; Caldisericaceae. The record is from RNAcentral.
GCUCUGGUGGCCAUACCGAAGGGGAAACACCCGUUCCCAUUCCGAACACGGAAGUUAAGCCCUUCAGGGCCGAUGGUACUGCACCGGCGACGGUGCGGGAGAGUAGGACGCUGCCAGGGCU